This 406-nucleotide ribosomal RNA is filed under the name uncultured bacterium. Its description in RNAcentral is "partial 16S ribosomal RNA". It matches the Rfam family "Bacterial small subunit ribosomal RNA", at positions 30 to 526 of the family's 1533-position model. The record is from RNAcentral.
AUUGAACGCUGGCGGCAGGCCUAACACAUGCAAGUCGAACGAGUGGCGGACGGGUGAGUAAUGUCUGGGAAACUGCCUGAUGGAGGGGGAUAACUACUGGAAACGGUAGCUAAUACCGCAUACCAUCAGAUGUGCCCAGAUGGGAUUAUCUUGUUGGUGGGGUAACGGCUCACCAAGGCGAAGAUCCCUAGAUGGUCUGAGAGGAUGACCCGCCACAAUGGAAAGUAGACACGGUCCAGACUCCUACGGGAGGCAGAAGUGGGGAAUUUUGCUCCAUGGGCGCAAUCCUGAUGCAGCCAUGCCGCGUGUAUGAUGAAGGCCUUCGGGUUGUAAAUUACUUUCAGCGUGGAGGCGUUACCCGCAGAAGAAGCACCGGCUAACUCCGUGCCAGCAGCCGCGGUAAUAC